This 490-nucleotide ribosomal RNA is filed under the name uncultured bacterium. RNAcentral's name for it is "partial 16S ribosomal RNA". It matches the Rfam family "Bacterial small subunit ribosomal RNA", at positions 30 to 507 of the family's 1533-position model. The record is from RNAcentral.
AUUGAACGCUGGCGGCAUGCUUUACACAUGCAAGUCGAACGGCAGCACGAAAGAGCUUGCUCUUUUGGUGGCGAGUGGCGAACGGGUGAGUAAUGCAUCGGAACGUACCGAGUAAUGGGGGAUAACUGUCCGAAAGGAUAGCUAAUACCGCAUACGCUUGGAGAAGGAAAGUGGGGGCUCUUCGGACCUCACGUUAUUCGAGCGGCCGAUGUCUGAUUAGCUAGUUGGUGGGGUAAAGGCCUACCAAGGCGACGAUCAGUAGCGGGUCUGAGAGGAUGAUCCGCCACACUGGGACUGAGACACGGCCCAGACUCCUACGGGAGGCAGCAGUGGGGAAUUUUGGACAAUGGGCGCAAGCCUGAUCCAGCCAUGCCGCGUGUCUGAAGAAGGCCUUCGGGUUGUAAAGGACUUUUGUUAGGGAAGAAAAGGAUAGUGUUAAUACCAUUAUCUGCUGACGGUACCUAAAGAAUAAGCACCGGCUAACUACGUG